RNAcentral lists this long non-coding RNA (292 nucleotides) under Citrus x clementina. Its description in RNAcentral is "Citrus clementina (C. clementina) long non-coding RNA (CCLE_LNC004642)". Lineage: Eukaryota; Viridiplantae; Streptophyta; Magnoliopsida; Sapindales; Rutaceae. The record is from RNAcentral.
UUUAUUUUUUUUUUGAGUUAGAUAGGAAGUCUCUGUCUUGUCUUAAACUUGAUGUUCUGUAAGAUGUUCCAUUGGUCCGAAUUAUUGCACUAUCUUUUCAUCAGGUACUGUAUUUUAUAUAAAUAUAUUCUCAUGUCACAUAAAAUUCGAUGCAAAGUUUAUUGGGAUUUAAUGACAUCAAUAAAUCAUCAAUAAAUCCUCCUUUGUUUAUCUAUUCUUUUAGACUUUCUUGUACAACCUUAUUUCUCUUUUCCUUAUGGGGAAUGCUAUUCGAACGUCUAUCCAUUUUACC